RNAcentral lists this ribosomal RNA (200 nucleotides) under uncultured bacterium. RNAcentral describes it as "partial 16S ribosomal RNA". It matches the Rfam family "Bacterial small subunit ribosomal RNA", at positions 29 to 256 of the family's 1533-position model. The record is from RNAcentral.
AACGAACGCUGGCGGCAGGCUUAACACAUGCAAGUCGAGCGAGACCUUCGGGUCUAGCGGCGGACGGAUGAGUAACGCGUGGGAACGUGCCCUUCUCUACGGAAUAGCCCCGGGAAACUGGGAGUAAUACCGUAUACGCCCUUUGGGGGAAAGAUUUAUCGGAGAAGGAUCGGCCCGCGUUGGAUUAGGUAGUUGGUGAG